Long non-coding RNA from Gadus morhua (Atlantic cod), 1212 nucleotides. RefSeq lists it as uncharacterized. NCBI's taxonomy places the organism in Eukaryota, Metazoa, Chordata, Actinopteri, Gadiformes, Gadidae. The record is from RefSeq and is a predicted model, not a curated record. The transcript has 3 exons.
ACAGCCGAUCAGAAUUUAACCCAGAUGUGUGAAGGUCAACCCCCUGAGGCUGCCCUCCGCUGCUUUGACUCUCAAGGUUGGACCGAAGGUCUUGGAUGAGCUCUUAUUGUAGUCCACACUAUCAGAUUUAGGAUUAAUCUCUAAAGUCUGAUGGCGAGCUCAAAUCACGGUGAACGGGGCGUGUCACUGUGUUUUGCCCAUAUAUUUGUUUCGACCAAUCAUGUUGCUGGAAGCGGGAAUCUGUAAGGGCAGAAUUGGUGAACACGACCUUGGCCAUCAGUAUUAAACUGUAAAAAAAGUAUCUCUAAAGGUUUGAAAUCAACACAGUUUAGACUGGCUCCUGUAGAAAUUAUUAAAAGCCCUUCUGAAAGCUGAAUCCAAUCGUGCAAAUGAGUUUUCUUUACUUGUUUUUUAGCUAGGUUAUCUUUGGUUGUUUGCUUCUUUUUUUUACAUGAUUCACAAAACAGGAAGUCGGCAUAGCCCCGCCACUUCCAGUUUCCUGUUUCCGGACCUGGCUCUGUUCCCCUUUCCGCCCUGAGGCUCUGCUAUAACUGGGCAGGAACUGCUGGAUCACAGAUUACCCCAUUGCUUUUGUUCGUGCAUUUUCACUUUCACUUGAGAAUUAUUGUGAUUGUUGAUGCGUUUAGUGUGUGUGCUUGUUUGUGGCUGUUUGUGUGUAUGUGUGUGUGUGUGUGUGUGUGUGUGUGUGUGUGUGUGUGUGUGUGUGUGUGUGUGUGUGUGUGUGUGUGUGUGUGUGUGUGUGUGUGUGUGUGUGCGCGCCAAGCAUGCUGAGGGGCUGGGAAGACAGCCAGAGUUACCUGUCGGACCACCCUCACCUGGUGUGAAUGGAGACCGCCACUCAGCAGGUGACCAUGUGAUUAAACUAACAGGUGGAUGAGACAGUACAAGCUGAAGGACCGGUUGCAACUAGUGUCAUAUCCAGAGCAGGAAGGAGGAGGAGCAGCAGGAGGAGGAAAAGGAACAGGAGGAGGAGGAGGUGGAGCGGCAGAAGGAGGAGGGGGAGGAGAAGCAGGAGUAGGAGCAGGAGGAGGAGAAGCAGGAGGUGGAGGAGGAGGAGUAGGAGCAGCAGCAGAAGAGAUUAGGCCCAGGUGGUCUGGAACCCGCAGAGGUCUAUGAGUCUCUCUCUAAGCGUGUUGCGGGUACUGGACUGGAUGCCUGGACUCUCCUCAUGGAUAACCGGCCAGAACCCCA